AGAGAGAGACAUGCGCGCAUAUCAAUAAGCGGAGGAAAAGAAACUAACAAGGAUUCCCCUAGUAACGGCGAGUGAAGCGGGAAGAGCUCAAAUUUGAAAUCUUAAAGGGUUUCCCUUUACGAAUUGUAGUUUAAAGAAGUGUUUUCUGUUGAGGUUUUGGUAAAAGUUCUUUGGAAUAGGACAUCAUAGAGGGUGAGAAUCCCGUAUUUGACCAUUACUUUCCAACUUUGUGAUACACUUUCAAAGAGUCGGAUUGUUUGGGAAUGCAGUCCAAAAUGGGUGGUAAAUUUCAUCUAAAGCUAAAUAUUGGCGAGAGACCGAUAGCGAACAAGUACCGUGAGGGAAAGAUGAAAAGAACUUUGAAAAGAGAGUUAAACAGUACGUGAAAUUGUCAAAAGGGAAGCGUUUGACACCAGUGUUGUUUUUCUGAAAAUCAAUUAAAGAACUGUUUAUGCUAAGUUGUUUAGACUUUAUCAGCUAACUGUUUAGUUUUGAGCUUUUCUUUAAUGCACUUUUCAGCUAACAAGUUAACAUCAAUUUCUUUUGCUGUAAAAAAGCUUGAGGAAGGUGGCUUGAGAUUCGUCUUAAGUGUUUAUAGCCUCUUGCCUAUGCAGUCGGAGAGAUUGAGGUCUGCAGCGUAGAUCCUUCGGGGCUAAAUGCAUUUGUGCUAAGUUAUAGCAUUUUAUAGACAACUUGUUGACUAUGAUUUGUCUUGUAGCUUACUCGCUUAUGUUAUUUUACCUACGCUUAGGAUGUUGAGCGCAUGUCUCUCUCU
This 775-nucleotide ribosomal RNA is filed under the name uncultured Neocallimastigales. RNAcentral describes it as "partial large subunit ribosomal RNA". It matches the Rfam family "Eukaryotic large subunit ribosomal RNA", at positions 23 to 616 of the family's 3401-position model. The record is from RNAcentral. Lineage: Eukaryota; Fungi; Neocallimastigomycota; Neocallimastigomycetes; Neocallimastigales.